RNAcentral lists this ribosomal RNA (377 nucleotides) under uncultured Staphylococcus sp. Its description in RNAcentral is "bacterial SSU rRNA". It matches the Rfam family "Bacterial small subunit ribosomal RNA", at positions 1024 to 1402 of the family's 1533-position model. The record is from RNAcentral. Lineage: Bacteria; Bacillati; Bacillota; Bacilli; Caryophanales; Staphylococcaceae.
GGACAAAGUGACAGGUGGUGCAUGGUUGUCGUCAGCUCGUGUCGUGAGAUGUUGGGUUAAGUCCCGCAACGAGCGCAACCCUUAAGCUUAGUUGCCAUCAUUAAGUUGGGCACUCUAGGUUGACUGCCGGUGACAAACCGGAGGAAGGUGGGGAUGACGUCAAAUCAUCAUGGCCCUUAUGAUUUGGGCUACACACGUGCUACAAUGGACAAUACAAAGGGCAGCUAAACCGCGAGGUCAUGCAAAUCCCAUAAAGUUGUUCUCAGUUCGGAUUGUAGUCUGCAACUCGACUACAUGAAGCUGGAAUCGCUAGUAAUCGUAGAUCAGCAUGCUACGGUGAAUACGUUCCCGGGUCUUGUACACACCGCCCGUCACCC